Molecule: ribosomal RNA, 599 nt
Filed under: Marasmius sp.
Lineage: Eukaryota; Fungi; Basidiomycota; Agaricomycetes; Agaricales; Marasmiaceae
Description: partial large subunit ribosomal RNA
Rfam family: Eukaryotic large subunit ribosomal RNA
Source: RNAcentral
CAAGGAUUCCCCUAGUAACUGCGAGUGAAGAGGGAAAAGCUCAAAUUUAAAAUCUGGCAGCCUUGCUGUCCGAGUUGUAAUUUAGAGAAGUGUUACCCGCGCUGGGCCGUGUAUAAGUCUCCUGGAAUGGAGCGUCAUAGAGGGUGAGAAUCCCGUCUUUGACACGGACUUGCCAGGGCAUUGUGGUGCGCUCUCGAAGAGUCGAGUUGUUUGGGAAUGCAGCUCUAAAUGGGUGGUAAAUUCCAUCUAAAGCUAAAUAUUGGCGAGAGACCGAUAGCGAACAAGUACCGUGAGGGAAAGAUGAAAAGAACUUUGGAAAGAGAGUUAAACAGUACGUGAAAUUGCUGAAAGGGAAACGCUUGAAGUCAGUCGCGUUGGCCGGGGAUCAGCCUUGCUUCUUGUGAGGUGUACUUCCUGGUUGACGGGUCAGCAUCAGUUUCGACCAUUGGAAAAAGGCUUGGGGAAUGUGGCACCUUCGGGUGUGUUAUAGCCCCUUGUUGUAUACAGUGGUUGGGACUGAGGAGCUCAGCACGCCGCAAGGCCGGGUUUCGACCACGUUCGUGCUUAGGAUGCUGGCAAAAUGGCUUUAAGCGACCCGU